This 253-nucleotide ribosomal RNA is filed under the name uncultured bacterium. RNAcentral describes it as "partial 16S ribosomal RNA". It matches the Rfam family "Bacterial small subunit ribosomal RNA", at positions 524 to 776 of the family's 1533-position model. The record is from RNAcentral.
UACAGAGGGUGCGAGCGUUAAUCGGAGGUACUGGGCGUAAAGGGCGCGUAGGCGGUUUAAUAAGAUUGAUGUGAAAGCCCUGGGCUUAACCUAGGAACUGCAUCGAUGACUGUAGAGCUAGAGUAUUGUAGAGGGUAGUAGAAUUUCCGGUGUAGCGGUGAAAUGCGUAGAGAUCGGAAGGAAUACCAGUGGCGAAGGCGGCUACCUGGACAAAUACUGACGCUGAGGCGCGAGAGCGUGGGGAGCAAACAGG